This is a non-coding RNA of Cherax quadricarinatus, 587 nucleotides long. NCBI's taxonomy places the organism in Eukaryota, Metazoa, Arthropoda, Malacostraca, Decapoda, Parastacidae. The record is from RefSeq and is a predicted model, not a curated record.
GUUCUCACAGAUGGAGUGGAAAACAUUAAAUUCUGGUGUCGUGUGUAAGGAAUAGCAGUGACAUUAGUGGAGUAUGUCUACUCCUGCAUCUCCAACUGCUGCUCGUAAGGAGAGAAUUUUCACAGGGUCCAUCUAAUGGGGAAAACAAUGACAAUAGUGGUGGAUGGCUUGGAGCAAUUGGUGGGGUGGUGGGAGAAUGGCUACAAGGAUGGGGAUUGCUUGGGGUGCUGCGGAAGAAGACAGGAGUGCCAGGUGGUGUGCGAUCAACUCCAGCCACUCCUCCCACACACAGUCAUCCUUCUACUCCAUCACAUGAGCAUAUUGAGUUGAGACAGUUGAACUUGCAGGCAUGGUAAACGAUGAGAUAUCUGAAAGACAGAGACUGAAGGGGACAGAAAUAGACAGCAGUAUGUAAUAAGGUAGUGACAAAUGAAGAGAAUCACUGUUGUAACAUUCUGUUCUUUGAGGCUUGUAUUUGUGCUGCAGCAUUGCUACAGCAUUGCUUUGUGCUGUGCUGCAGUAAUGCAGCCAUUUUUUAAUUGUCUGCUGUAAUUCUGCUCUUCACUAACAUAUUCUGUUGUUUUACU